AGAAUUGUCAUUGGCUCUCGAGAAAUCGAUUUACUGGAUGCACAUACAAAUAAUAUAUAUGUAAAAAAAAGAAAAAGAAAAAGAAAAAGAGAAAGUUGAAUGAACAUAUGGCAGUCAACCCCCAUGAUCUGUCGUCCAAGUUUCUUUUUCUUCUUCUUUUUUCUUUCAUUUCUUUAUUCUUCUUGCUUUGCAGGUACCUGCAGCUUGGCUGAACCCAUGUCCUGCCCCUCCUCUGCACAUCUCGACAACAACUCCAUCGAUCAUCAGAAUUCACAUCAUCUUCUGCUUUACGGCAAACCCUUACCGACGGAACCAACCAUUUCUUCUUUUUCCUUUUCCUUUCCUUUCGGCUUUUUUUUCCCUCUUCUUCCUGUCUUCUGAUGAUUUGGCAGUCGACUAUCCAAGUUGAAGCCCAUGCCCUGCGUCCUAUGCAACAUGUGACCAUCAGCCUCAUCUUUCCUCUCCAUUUCAAGCCGUCACUAGCCCCGACUGCCUUCCUGCUCUCCCUCUUUCUCCCUCUCUCUCUCUCUCUCUCUCUCUCUAUGGCUCAGGCAAACAGAAGGAACACAGGCAAAAAAAAAACAAAAACAAAAGAGAAAAUAGAGAACCCUUAGCUCCGUUUUUUCUCGGAGCUCAUUCCCAAUUUCCCUGAACUCAUGCCCUCAGCUCCAGGGGCUCUCCCCGAGCUCACUCUCAAUCCCCACGGAACCCCUUAGCUCACUUUCUUUCCCCCUCAGCUCAACUCCCGUUCCCUCACUCAUCUGGCCUCUCUCUCACAGCUCAUUCCCGACGGACCCUCACAUCAAUUCUCCCUCAGCUGAUCGAUGGCACUUUCACCCUCUCGACCCCUCUGACUCUCUCGACCCGUCCUUAUUAUUUCUACUGAACACCUCAACCACCUGAUCAACAUCGACAUUACCUUCCUCAUGUCACCUUCCUUCUCUCUCUCGAUCACUCUUCCACUCAAGGGCGAAGCCAGUUCAUUAGUAGGGGGGCAAUUGCCCCCCUUGAACUUUGGAUUUCUUUAAAAUUUUGCCCCAAACUAUGUAAAAUUAAUAUUUUGUCCCCCCUGAAAAAAAUCAUUUAUGUACUAUUUAUAUCGAAUAACAUUUUUGCCCCCCUAGACGAAAAUCCUAGCUCCGCCCCUGCUUCCACUCACUCUCUCCCGGUUCCUACAGAUAAAAACACAUCACGCACAGACAAUCCUACCGUAAGCUCAUGCCCCUCCUGCAAUUCAUGGCAACAACACCAUUAAUCUUCUCUACUUCUCAAUCCUGUUCCUUUGGGGGUUUGUUAGUUUCUUUUGUUGGUCCAGCAGCCUUCAGCUUCUUGGCUGCUGAUCCUUCUCACCCGCGUCCCCAUGAACAUUAUCACCAACUUAUUCCUUCCCUUGGUCACCCUCGACUAGGGGAAGGGAAAAAAAAAGGAACAACAACAGCAGCCUCACCUCCCCUCUUCGAGCUCCUCGGCUUUGCUCCCACUGCUGUGGUGCUUGAGCUGCCGCCGCCCGCAGCCCACCUAGUUGUCCAGUGGUUCUUAAGCUGUCUUCAUCAAGCUUCGAAGCUAAGUCCCAUUUCCCUUUCCAUUCUUGUUCUCUUGCUCGGCGUUUCUCUAUGGGUGUAUGUCAUUUACUUAUCAUUGUGCUCCCCUUUUGUUUCCAUUUGUAGCAACCAGCCCAGGUCUUCAUCAUCUCACUCGCAACCUUCUUUGCAGUAGUUUCUCUUCUCUGGCUGAGCUUUUAAAUAAUUCUCUCGGCAAUUCGAACGAGUUUUGCUUUAUUUCAUUGAAUUUUUGUUGUGCUGAAACAUUUAGCUGAGUCGUGUGGUGAUUCCAUGAAUAAUUUACGAAAUAUUUGACUGAUUUUCAUGACUAGAAAUGGUGUUUGAGUUAGGGUUCUGCCAUGUCACGAUCCUCAAUAGAUUUGAAGUGCGUUGGUAGGAUUUUGAGGUCAAGAGGUUGUGGCUAUAGUUUGGACUGAGUUGUAUGUUAGCCAUUCAAUUGAUUUAAGCGUGUUUGGCAUGAUUUUUGUUUCCUUCAGGUCGAUCUAUGACAUUUUUCUUCGCUUGCUGGUGGGUCUUGGUUUUGGUUCUUAGAGGCUCAUUCGAGUCACUCUUAUGCCAUAUGAUGAGUCACCCCUGUUCUGGACACCAUAAGGGAAAUAUAUGGUUUGACACGAAGACGACGUGGAGACUUACCUAGGCUUAGGUUGAGUCCAGACUUGAAGGCCGCAUCGAUCUGCGGUAGUCAAGGAUCUUCUGAGCCAGCUCAUCCUGAGAACCUCUUGGGAUUACGUAUAAAUCUCCACUUUAGUAUCAUGAGAUAGGUCUUCGAUGUUUGAUGAGUGGAUUCGAUGAGAUUGAUACGAUUUUAUGCCCUUGAUUCAUGUUUGGACGUGUUCCUUGUCAGUUUGAUAAAGAUCUCACAUGAAUUUGGAUUAAUCACGUAAAUUUGAUUUAA
This is a non-coding RNA of Punica granatum (pomegranate), 2457 nucleotides long. The record is from RefSeq and is a predicted model, not a curated record. Lineage: Eukaryota; Viridiplantae; Streptophyta; Magnoliopsida; Myrtales; Lythraceae.